Molecule: ribosomal RNA, 253 nt
Filed under: uncultured bacterium
Lineage: Bacteria
Description: partial 16S ribosomal RNA
Rfam family: Bacterial small subunit ribosomal RNA
Source: RNAcentral
CACGUAGGGCGCGAGCGUUGUCCGGAAUUAUUGGGCGUAAAGAGCUCGUAGGCGGCCUGUUGCGUCCGCUGUGAAAGCCCGGGGCUUAACCCCGGGUCUGCAGUGGAUACGGGCAGGCUAGAGGUAGGUAGGGGAGAAUGGAAUUCCCGGUGUAGCGGUGAAAUGCGCAGAUAUCGGGAGGAACACCAGUGGCGAAGGCGAUCACCUGGGGUUGUUCUGACGCUGAGGAGCGAAAGCUAGGGGAGCAAACGGG